Molecule: ribosomal RNA, 426 nt
Filed under: uncultured bacterium
Lineage: Bacteria
Description: bacterial SSU rRNA
Rfam family: Bacterial small subunit ribosomal RNA
Source: RNAcentral
UAGGGAAUAUUGGACAAUGGGGGCAACCCUGAUCCAGCCAUGCCGCGUGAGUGAAGAAGGCCCUCGGGUUGUAAAGCUCUUUUGUCCGGAAAGAAAAGCAUUCGGUGAAUACCCGGAUGUUCUGACGGUACCGGAAGAAUAAGCACCGGCUAACUUCGUGUCAGCAGCCGCGGUAAUACGAAGGGUGCAAGCGUUACUCGGAAUUACUGGGCGUAAAGCGUGCGUAGGUGGUUGUUUAAGUCUGAUGUGAAAGCCCUGGGCUCAACCUGGGAAUGGCAUUGGAAACUGGGCAGCUAGAGUGCGGUAGAGGGUAGUGGAAUUCCCAGUGUAGCAGUGAAAUGCGUAGAGAUCGGGAGGAACAUCUGUGGCGAAGGCGACUGCCUGGACCAGCACUGACACUGAGGCACGAAAGCGUGGGGAGCAAAC